AACAUUUAGACACUUGUUCGUCCUGGGCCACUCUUCUCUUCAAAUCAGUAUGAUGUUCCUUCCUGCACGCUCUGCUAGGAGAUUUUUUUCCCUCCGUGUUAUUCCAGUGCUCUAUUCUUGUGCACUGAGCAAUAUUCUCCUCUGGGCUGCUUUCUCACUGAGGGCGAGGGGUUGCCUUAAAGUGCCAGCGAGUCCACUCUAUUCUGAGUCCCUCCUGCUGUGUGUUAUCAUUUGGAAACCCAGUGUCCAAAGUUGACUCAUGGGGCUGUAUCCUUUUGUAAUGCUCCCCAGGGAUGGUGUGUGUGUGCGUGUGUGCGUGUGUGUAUGAGAGNUGUGUGUGUGUGUGUGUGUGUGUGUGUGUGCGUGUGUAUGAGAAAGAGAGAGACUCUGUGUCAAACAGGUGUCUGUGUCUUUUUUUUUUUUUUUAAUCGGACCUUCUUGGAUGUUGAAUACUCUUCUUUCUGUUAUCAAUCAACUUGAUCACUGCUUUUCCCACUUCAGCCCAAAGUGUGCAGAACCGGCUUCCCCACUCAUUGGCAUGGACCUUGGGCCUGAUGCACUGUCCCUGCCAUCUCUGUAAGAGCCAAGCAUUUCGGUGAACAAGGGAAGGUCUGCUUUUCCUACACCUCGUGGAGAUUGGCCCCUGUUCUGGCCCCUCUGGAGUGAGAGGGUGGGGCCGGUGCUGGGAAGCCCCAAGUCUGGCAAGAGAGUCUGAUAAAUAGGCCAAGGGAAGGCCUGAGAAGGCGUCAGAAGCUGUUGUCAGCCCAGGAUGACUCAGAGGAACCUGUGAGGUCCGGGCUUCCUUCAGAAGAAUCUGGGAGAUCUCAGCCUCAAAUGCCAUGACCCUGUGUCCCUAGGUGACUUUCAGGAUGACCAGCAAAAGACAACACCCAAGGUCUCUUUGGGUCUGGGCUGCGGCCUGAGUAAUGACAACAUUUGAAAGCCCCUGGGGGAAGCAACUAGGUCCUCAAAAUAGGUGUGGACUGAGCCAUGGAUCUCAUAACCACUUGCUCGGAGCCCUCUCUGCUCCAUUCCUCCUGGGUCAUCGAGCCUCAGGAAGCAGAGGAAAUUCCACUGCAGGGCUGAGCUGUCAUGUCUGGAUUCCCGGACACAGAGCAAAGCCAAAGAAGAGC
RNAcentral lists this long non-coding RNA (1133 nucleotides) under Sus scrofa (pig). Its description in RNAcentral is "lncRNA (ENSSSCG00030035927.1)". Lineage: Eukaryota; Metazoa; Chordata; Mammalia; Artiodactyla; Suidae. The record is from RNAcentral.